RNAcentral lists this long non-coding RNA (347 nucleotides) under Gossypium barbadense (sea-island cotton). RNAcentral describes it as "long non-coding RNA (GBAR_LNC016747)". The record is from RNAcentral. Lineage: Eukaryota; Viridiplantae; Streptophyta; Magnoliopsida; Malvales; Malvaceae.
CACAACCUUUAGACUUUGGAGGCUUGCAAUUGCACGAUGGGAUGGCUUUACUUCCCAUAUCCUCUUCAAUUUUGGCAAUGAAUGUAGGUUCAAUAUUGUUAAAUUUGAGAGCAAUGGUGUCUGAUAUUUCAUUCUUUCAGAAAGUUUAUCUAUUUGAAAUAUCACUUGUAACUCCUCACAAUCUUUAAUGAUCACUUGCUUAAGGUUUUGCAAGAACCUAGUCGGAGAAACACCAUUGCACAACCCUUUCAAAGAAGCCAUCCUUUCUAUAUUUAAUUCCACCAAAUUAGAGAAUGCAACAGUUGACCCUUGAUCAUUUUUUGUAUCAAUCAAGAAUUCCAUAUCAU